AUCUAUGGCCAUGUCACUCUGAAUGCACCUGAUCUUGUCUGAUCUCAGAUGCUAAGCAAGGUCAGGCCUGGUUAGUAUUUCGAUGGGAGACCACCUGAUAAUACCAGGUAUUAUAGGCA
Ribosomal RNA from Callithrix jacchus (white-tufted-ear marmoset), 119 nucleotides. The record is from Ensembl. Lineage: Eukaryota; Metazoa; Chordata; Mammalia; Primates; Cebidae.